This 615-nucleotide ribosomal RNA is filed under the name Salmonella enterica subsp. enterica serovar Newport. RNAcentral describes it as "partial 23S ribosomal RNA". It matches the Rfam family "Bacterial large subunit ribosomal RNA", at positions 1 to 655 of the family's 2925-position model. The record is from RNAcentral. Lineage: Bacteria; Pseudomonadati; Pseudomonadota; Gammaproteobacteria; Enterobacterales; Enterobacteriaceae.
UUAAGCGACUAAGCGUACACGGUGGAUGCCCUGGCAGUCAGAGGCGAUGAAGGACGUGCUAAUCUGCGAUAAGCGCCGGUAAGGUGAUAUGAACCGUUAUAACCGGCGAUUUCCGAAUGGGGAAACCCAGUGUGAUUCGUCACACUAUCAUUAACUGAAUCCAUAGGUUAAUGAGGCGAACCGGGGGAACUGAAACAUCUAAGUACCCCGAGGAAAAGAAAUCAACCGAGAUUCCCCCAGUAGCGGCGAGCGAACGGGGAGGAGCCCAGAGCCUGAAUCAGCAUGUGUGUUAGUGGAAGCGUCUGGAAAGGCGCGCGAUACAGGGUGACAGCCCCGUACACAAAAGCGCAUGUGCUGUGAGCUCGAUGAGUAGGGCGGGACACGUGGUAUCCUGUCUGAAUAUGGGGGGACCAUCCUCCAAGGCUAAAUACUCCUGACUGACCGAUAGUGAACCAGUACCGUGAGGGAAAGGCGAAAAGAACCCCGGCGAGGGGAGUGAAAAAGAACCUGAAACCGUGUACGUACAAGCAGUGGGAGCACAGGUUUACCUGUGUGACUGCGUACCUUUUGUAUAAUGGGUCAGCGACUUAUAUUCUGUAGCAAGGUUAACCGUAU